GAUGAAGAACGCAGUGAAAUGCGAUAAGUAAUGUGAAUUGCAGAAUUCCGUGAAUCAUCGAAUCUUUGAACGCACAUUGCGCCCCUUGGUAUCCCGAGGGGCAUGCCUGUUCGAGCGUCAUUUCACCACUCAAGCCUGGCUUGGUGUUGGGCGACGUCCCCUUUGGGGACGCGCCUCGAAACGCUCGGCGGCGUGGCACCGGCUUUAAGCGUAGCAGAAUCUUUCGCUUUGGAAGUCGGGGCCCCGUCUGCCGGAAGACCUACUCGCAAGGUUGACCUCGGAUCAGGCAGGGAUACCCGCUGAACUUAAGCAUAUCAAUAAGCGGAGGA
RNAcentral lists this unclassified non-coding RNA (329 nucleotides) under soil metagenome. Its description in RNAcentral is "partial contains 5.8S ribosomal RNA, internal transcribed spacer 2, and large subunit ribosomal RNA". The stretch from base 1 to 120 matches the Rfam family "5.8S ribosomal RNA", at positions 35 to 154 of the family's 154-position model. The record is from RNAcentral.